GGCUAUAUGUCUUCUGAUCGUCUUGAUGGCAUAUAUGAGGACCUGCAAUACUGAACCUGGAAGUUAGUCGUUGAGGCAGUGGUCAUGGUAGUGAUAUCUACUGCCAGAACAUAAACGUUUGGCCCUCCUUGUUGCCACGAAGGAUUAUGAUCUACUGGAUUUACAGAACCAGUUAAUGGCAUGAUGCUGGCAGUAGUAAUGGAGGGUUGUGAUUUCUGGAUGGAAUAGGACGGAUUGGCGUCCUCUUCUCACGAAACACACUGACACAAAAUUUCUGGUUUCUGACGUACAAGGAUUAUUUACUAUGAACAAAUAUUGCAAUGUUCAUUCGUAGUACUGUUUGUUGAGGCGAUGCCUCUCCUACAGGCGCGAAGAGGAAGGUGGGGACACGCCAUGGCAGAGGCCAGUGCCGAAUCUACGUCUGCUGGCAGAGGCGCGUGGUUGACAGGAGGAGCCGGGGAGGCAUGACGGUGGACAUGUGGAUGUUAUCGUGGCAUUGACACAUUUCGCCCUACCAACACUGCAUACCAACGUGACUGAAUGUUAUCGUGGCUUAGAUGCCCUAUCAAAUUCUUGCUUGACUUUUUGGUUUUGUAUGCUCGGAUGUAUGUUUCAGUUCCUACAUGGUAUUUCUCAUGUGGAGUUGAAACCACAUUUGGUUGGUCC
RNAcentral lists this ribosomal RNA (666 nucleotides) under Triticum aestivum (bread wheat). RNAcentral describes it as "partial small subunit ribosomal RNA". The record is from RNAcentral. Lineage: Eukaryota; Viridiplantae; Streptophyta; Magnoliopsida; Poales; Poaceae.